UAAGACGCGCUGCAUUCUGGGAAGAGUUACGGAAGCGGGGUUGGGCGUCCGCUGGCUGUUACCAGGGCAACCGGAGGCGGUUGACAGUUAUCCGCGGGUUGGAGUGGUUAGCUGGAGAGGCUGAGAUGCUCAGAGGUCGUUUGGGAUGAGCGAAGCGGGCAAGAGGGCCCUUUUAAAGAGCAGAUUCUCCUGUCAGGAGGUUAUCCAGUUGUGCCCCGCAGGAGCGCCUGCCCGGGGGAUCUGGGUCAUGCCGUCUGGUUCGUCUUUGAGCAUUCCGACGAGAUGAAAUGUGGCCCAGAGUAGCUCCUGUCACUUCUCUAGCUUUCUGCCUACUUUUAGAAAAUUGAGUUGAAGAGACAGAGAUGAAGUGGACGCAGCAUGUGAAGACAAUUCUUUUAAGAAGUUUGGCUGUAAAGGAGAAAAAAAAGUGCCAUCGAGUUAAUUCUGACUCCUAGUGACCCUGUGGACAGCAGAGCGGAACCCUGCCCGGUCUUUCUGCGCCAUCCUCUCACCUUCUGGUGUUACAUCAGACAAUGCUCUGCUGCUAUUCAUAGGGUUUUCAUGGCCAGUUUUUUUCAGAAGCGAGUGGCCAGGACCUUCUUCCUAGUCUGUCUUAGUCUGGAAACUCUACUGAAACCUGUCCACCAUGGGUGACCCGCUGGUAUUUGAAAUCCCGAUGGCAUAGCUUUCAGCAUCACAGCAACAAGCAGCCACCACAGCAUGACAACCGACAGUCAGGUGGUGUGGUCCCCUGACUGGGCAGUGACCAGGGCCUCGGCGGUGAGAGCGCCAGAUCUUAACCACAAGACCACCAGGGCUGGCUUAAAAAUUAUCACAAGGAGAAAAAAACAAACAAACACAACCUGCCCCCCCCCCAACACACACACACCCCUGUAAUUGAUGUUGAAGCAGGAACCCGAGAACAUAUUUGCAACAUAUAUCACAAAAACUGUAUGUCCUUACUAUACAAAGAGCUCUAACACUCACUAAAAAGGUCCAGCACCCUAACAGACAAACCUGGCGAGGAACAUGAACAAGCAAAUAGCACGCUACAAAUGGCUGAGCAUGUGGAAAUACUUUUGUUCUUGUUAGUGAAGAAAUACAAAUAAUGGCAACAAUGAGAUAUGUUUUCAUUGGAUUAGCAAAACUACAAAGGUUGGUGUUGGCAGAGAUAGGAGAUAGGGUACUGUCAGAGUAUAAAUCAGUUAGGCCGUUCCAAGUGCAGUGUGGCAACAUGUAUCAAAAUGUGAAAGAUGCAAACCUUUGAAUCAACAGUGAUGCUUCUAGGAAUGUGUCCAAAGGUGAUAAUCAGACAAAUCAGAAAAGACGCAUGUGCAACAAUGUUCAUUACAGUAGUUGUUAAAAAUUGGAAACAACUUAAAGGCUUAUAAAUAAGAGACUAAAUGUAAUUUUGAGCAAAAAAUAGCUUGUUACAAAACAUCGUGAGAAAUGUGAUCCUGUUUAUAUAAAUUACGUGUAAGUACACAUAGAAGUAAUGUUUAACAAAAUGUUAGUAAUGGAAAUCUCUGGUGGGAUUUCAGAUGAGUUUCAAGCUUGUGAAAAAGUGAGAAAAUGGUAUGAACUACUGUGUACCCCACUCAGCUACAAUGCAUGCCCAGUCUUGUUUCAUCUAUGGUCCCACCCCAGUUUUUGAGGCAAAUCUAAGACAGCUUAUCUGUAGAUAGUUUGUGUACCUCUAAAAGAUAAGGAUGCUUUUAAAACAUAAUCUCAAUAUCAUCAUACCUAAAAAACUUCUAACAAUUCCUUCAUAAAAUCAAUUAUAUCUGAUCAGUGUUCACAUUUUUGUCUUAUACAUUGUUUUGUAGUUAGAUCGAGGUCCAUACAUUACCAUUCGUCUGUGUAUUUCCUAAUGUAUAGAUUCUCUCUCUCUCUCUCCCUGUUUUUCCCCCCUGCAAUUUAUUUGGGGAAGUAACUGUGUUGUUUGAGCUAAAGAGGAGUUUUGAGAGUAGGCCUGACCCUAAUAUUUACAGACCUGGGACCAUAGUGCAAAUGGAGCCCCAAAUACCAUAUAUCUAACUAUUUAAAUGCCUCAGCUCCAGCUAACAGUUCUGUACGUUCUACACUCCUACCUUGACAAACAAACCCUCUUAACGACCUGGAAAGCCAAGUUAGAAUUUAGAAUUCUCAGACUUCUUAGAAUUCCUCACUGGAUUGUGCUUCACCGGGGAGCUGGCACUUGGCCCACAGGCUGUCCCAUUCUCUUCCCACCUCUGGCUCCAUACCCUUCUCAAGGACACCCCAGCCCACAAGUCCAAGUUCAAUCUACACCCUGUGCAAACAGGUACCGCUGGAGGCACAGUCCCGCCUUGGAAGGAUGAACCAAAGACCAGGCCCAUGCAGGCUCUGAAAGUAGGCGUGGGGCGUAUAGACUGGGAAGUUCAGGUUCUACGGAGCCAGAGCAUGGUCUGGAAGGGGAGGCGUCAACUCUAGUUGUGGCAGCCAGCUUGGAAUCAUGAAAGAAGCCAACCUCAGAGGAAAAGCCAACAUGCUGAGGAUGACAGAACAGAAAGAUGGAAGGAGGCUGGGUCCCUGACGAGGUCACUGAGGACACACCCUAGCUCCAGACUAUUGUGAUAGCUCCAGACUAUUGUGAUACAAGACAAUAAAUGUUUAAACAACUCUGA
Non-coding RNA from Equus caballus (horse), 2645 nucleotides. NCBI's taxonomy places the organism in Eukaryota, Metazoa, Chordata, Mammalia, Perissodactyla, Equidae. The record is from RefSeq and is a predicted model, not a curated record.